Molecule: ribosomal RNA, 2933 nt
Filed under: Dickeya zeae EC1
Lineage: Bacteria; Pseudomonadati; Pseudomonadota; Gammaproteobacteria; Enterobacterales; Pectobacteriaceae
Description: bacterial LSU rRNA
Rfam family: Bacterial large subunit ribosomal RNA
Source: RNAcentral
GGGUUGUGAGGUUAAGCGACUAAGCGUACACGGUGGAUGCCUAGGCAGUCAGAGGCGAUGAAGGGCGUGCUAAUCUGCGAAAAGCGUCGGCAAGGUGAUAUGAACCGUUAUACCCGACGAUACCCGAAUGGGGAAACCCAGUGUGAUUCGUCACACUAUCAUUAACUGAAUCCAUAGGUUAAUGAGGCGAACCGGGGGAACUGAAACAUCUCAGUACCCCGAGGAAAAGAAAUCAACCGAGAUUCCCCCAGUAGCGGCGAGCGAACGGGGAGGAGCCCAGAACCUGAAUCGGCUUGUGUGUCAGUGGAAGCGUCUGGAAAGGCGCACGAUACAGGGUGACAGUCCCGUACACGAAGAUGCACAGGUCGUGAGUUCGAAGAGUAGGGCGGGACACGUGGUAUCCUGUCUGAACAUGGGGGGACCAUCCUCCAAGGCUAAAUACUCCUGACUGACCGAUAGUGAACCAGUACCGUGAGGGAAAGGCGAAAAGAACCCCGGCGAGGGGAGUGAAAUAGAACCUGAAACCGUGUACGUACAAGCAGUGGGAGCACCUUUAGGGUGUGACUGCGUACCUUUUGUAUAAUGGGUCAGCGACUUAUAUUCUGUAGCAAGGUUAACCGAAUAGGGGAGCCGCAGGGAAACCGAGUCUUAACUGGGCGUCUAGUUGCAGGGUAUAGACCCGAAACCCGGUGAUCUAGCCAUGGGCAGGUUGAAGGUUGGGUAACACUAACUGGAGGACCGAACCGACUAAUGUUGAAAAAUUAGCGGAUGACUUGUGGCUGGGGGUGAAAGGCCAAUCAAACCGGGAGAUAGCUGGUUCUCCCCGAAAGCUAUUUAGGUAGCGCCUCGUGAACUCAUCUUCGGGGGUAGAGCACUGUUUCGGCUAGGGGGCCAUCCCGGCUUACCAACCCGAUGCAAACUGCGAAUACCGAAGAAUGUUAUCACGGGAGACACACGGCGGGUGCUAACGUCCGUCGUGAAGAGGGAAACAACCCAGACCGCCAGCUAAGGUCCCAAAGUCAUGGUUAAGUGGGAAACGAUGUGGGAAGGCCCAGACAGCCAGGAUGUUGGCUUAGAAGCAGCCAUCAUUUAAAGAAAGCGUAAUAGCUCACUGGUCGAGUCGGCCUGCGCGGAAGAUGUAACGGGGCUAAAACCAUGCACCGAAGCUGCGGCAGCGACACUGUGUGUUGUUGGGUAGGGGAGCGUUCUGUAAGCCUGUGAAGGUGGCCUGUGAGGGCUGCUGGAGGUAUCAGAAGUGCGAAUGCUGACAUAAGUAACGAUAAUGCGGGUGAAAAACCCGCACGCCGGAAGACCAAGGGUUCCUGUCCAACGUUAAUCGGGGCAGGGUGAGUCGACCCCUAAGGCGAGGCUGAAAAGCGUAGUCGAUGGGAAACAGGUUAAUAUUCCUGUACUUGGUGUUACUGCGAAGGGGGGACGGAGAAGGCUAUGUCAUCCGGGCGACGGUUGUCCCGGUUUAAGCGUGCAGGUGGGUGGACCAGGUAAAUCCGGUCUGCUGUUAACACUGAGGCGUGAUGACGAGGCACUACGGUGCUGAAGUGACAGAUGCCCGGCUUCCAGGAAAAGCCUCUAAGCAUCAGGUAACAUUGAAUCGUACCCCAAACCGACACAGGUGGUCAGGUAGAGAAUACUCAGGCGCUUGAGAGAACUCGGGUGAAGGAACUAGGCAAAAUGGUGCCGUAACUUCGGGAGAAGGCACGCUCCUGUUGGUGAAGUCCCUUGCGGAUGGAGCUGAGGGGAGUCGCAGAUACCAGCUGGCUGCAACUGUUUAAUAAAAACACAGCACUGUGCAAACACGAAAGUGGACGUAUACGGUGUGACGCCUGCCCGGUGCCGGAAGGUUAAUUGAUGGGGUUAUCCGUAAGGAGAAGCUCUUGAUCGAAGCCCCGGUAAACGGCGGCCGUAACUAUAACGGUCCUAAGGUAGCGAAAUUCCUUGUCGGGUAAGUUCCGACCUGCACGAAUGGCGUAAUGAUGGCCAGGCUGUCUCCACCCGAGACUCAGUGAAAUUGAACUCGCUGUGAAGAUGCAGUGUACCCGCGGCAAGACGGAAAGACCCCGUGAACCUUUACUAUAGCUUGACACUGAACCUUGAGCCUUGAUGUGUAGGAUAGGUGGGAGGCUUUGAAGUGUGGACGCCAGUCUGCAUGGAGCCAACCUUGAAAUACCACCCUUUAAUGUUUGAUGUUCUAACCUGGGCCCGUAAUCCGGGCCGGGGACAGUGUCUGGUGGGUAGUUUGACUGGGGCGGUCUCCUCCCAAAGAGUAACGGAGGAGCACGAAGGUUAGCUAAUCCUGGUCGGACAUCAGGAGGUUAGUGCAAAGGCAUAAGCUAGCUUGACUGCGAGAGUGACGGCUCGAGCAGGUGCGAAAGCAGGUCUUAGUGAUCCGGUGGUUCUGAAUGGAAGGGCCAUCGCUCAACGGAUAAAAGGUACUCCGGGGAUAACAGGCUGAUACCGCCCAAGAGUUCAUAUCGACGGCGGUGUUUGGCACCUCGAUGUCGGCUCAUCACAUCCUGGGGCUGAAGUAGGUCCCAAGGGUAUGGCUGUUCGCCAUUUAAAGUGGUACGCGAGCUGGGUUUAGAACGUCGUGAGACAGUUCGGUCCCUAUCUGCCGUGGGCGUUGGAAGAUUGAGGGGGGUUGCUCCUAGUACGAGAGGACCGGAGUGAACGCACCGCUGGUGUUCGGGUUGUCAUGCCAAUGGCACUGCCCGGUAGCUACGUGCGGAAGAGAUAACCGCUGAAAGCAUCUAAGCGGGAAACUUGCCCCGAGAUGAGUCUUCCCUGGGAACUAGAUUCCCCUGAAGGGACGUUCGAGACGAGGACGUUGAUAGGCUGGGUGUGUAAGCGUAGCGAUACGUUGAGCUAACCAGUACUAAUGACCCGAGAGGCUUAACCUUACAACACCGAAGGUGUUU